Molecule: ribosomal RNA, 315 nt
Filed under: uncultured eukaryote
Lineage: Eukaryota
Description: partial 18S ribosomal RNA
Rfam family: Eukaryotic small subunit ribosomal RNA
Source: RNAcentral
CCCUUAGACGUUCUGGGCCGCACGCGCGCUACACUGACCAGUGGAACAAGCAUCCGUCCUUGGCCGACAGGCCCGGGCAAUCUUUGAACGCUGGUCGUGAUGGGGAUAGACUUUUGCAAUUUUUGGUCUUCAACGAGGAAUUCCUAGUAAACGCAAGUCAUCAACUUGCAUUGAUUACGUCCCUGCCCUUUGUACACACCGCCCGUCGCACCUACCGAUUGAAUGGUCCGGUGAAGCCUCCGGAUUGGCGCGCACCUCGGUGCCGCCGAGAAGUUGGCUAAACCUUACCAUUUAGAGGAAGGUGAAGUCGUANCA